UACAGAGAGUGCGAACGUUGUUCGGAAUUACUGGGCGUAAAGCGCGUGUAGGCGGUUGUUCAAGUCGGGUGUGAAAGCCUUGAGCUCAACUCAAGAAAUGCACUCGGUACUGGAUGACUAGAGGACCGGAGAGGAUAGUGGAAUUCCCAGUGUAGUGGUGAAAUACGUAGAGAUUGGGAAGAACACCAGUGGCGAAGGCGGCUAUCUGGACGGUUUCUGACGCUAAG
RNAcentral lists this ribosomal RNA (227 nucleotides) under uncultured prokaryote. RNAcentral describes it as "partial 16S ribosomal RNA". It matches the Rfam family "Bacterial small subunit ribosomal RNA", at positions 524 to 750 of the family's 1533-position model. The record is from RNAcentral.